UGUUAAAAAUUUCAUCCAUUUAUAAUAACUUUGCUGAUAGAAUAAUUAAACAGUGAUACAUUGUAUGCCAUAUGUAUCUUAUGUUGAUGUACAAAAACUAAUUUUUAUUAAUAAAAAUGGAUGAAAUUUUUAAUA
This 135-nucleotide microRNA precursor is filed under the name Gossypium arboreum. Its description in RNAcentral is "MIR7502 microRNA precursor family". It matches the Rfam family "MIR7502 microRNA precursor family". Lineage: Eukaryota; Viridiplantae; Streptophyta; Magnoliopsida; Malvales; Malvaceae. The record is from Rfam by way of RNAcentral.